CGUAGGAGAAGCCGAUGGAGAUGAAGGAGCCCAGGACCACCGCCCAGCCCCAGCCCCCGUCUGGCGGGGUGACGACCGGAGGACCUCCUGCAGGGGGCGGCAUCUCUGGCCCAGCUCGACCUUAAACUGGACAAAAAACAGGAACCAUUGCAUCCUCAAACCACUGACGCCAUCCAAAAGGUUUUGGAUGGUGAUGCUCUGCACUUUCGAGACAACAGCAUGUCCAGUGCAAUAGGUGGCGGUGGACACCAGAGGCCUACCAUCUUAGUUCAGACUCCAGGAAGGAAAAAGCGAGUCAGAGACAGAAGCCCACCGGCAGAACACCGCCUGUUUCCUUCCAGUCCCACCAGGUGGCGCUCUGCGGGCCAAUGCUCUUCACCCUUGGAUGAGUUACCGUCAAUUUUUUGUCGUGCAACCACUUUUCACGUACAUAAUAAUGCAUGACUUGGCAAAACAAAUAUGAGCCUGCAGAUAGCGACACAACCAAAGAGGCAAAUAAGCAGCUAAAGAAAACUUAACCUAAACUCUCAGGCCGCUGUGGCACUGUUGACUAAAGUGCUUAACCUGAAUUGCUGGGCCAAACCAAAUGGCCCAUACUGCUGCUCUCGUGACCCGAUCCAGAAGCAGUAAUGUUUGUUCCUCCGAAACCUUUCUCCUAAGAAAGCCUAGCGUGGAACACAUUAUUAACCAGGAAACGGUCACUCUCGAGCUCUCACACUAGCCAGGACUGCAAUAUCUUCGGGCUCUAAAUUCAUUGUAGGCUCUUGAGGCAAAUUCAAAGUGGGAAAUUGAGGGGGGGUACCCAUCUGUCCAGCACCAGUUGGUAAAGGCGACGAGUUUCUGCACCGAGUCCCCCGCUGCUUUCUGAGCAGCCCCAGCCGGCCCAAGAUCAGAGAGACGGUCAUCGUGCCAAACGGGAACGUGGAUCAGGAGGCGGGACUUCACCGAGAAAGCGUUCCAAAAUAAGCAAUGCAACCCACCCACCGCGCCGCUGACCUCAAACCCAAUCUGGCAACCCAAUCUGGCAACCCCGGCUGAGCAGCCUUCCUGCUUGCCCCUCUGGGAAGUUUCCCCUUUGUUCAAAGACACAGCAACAAUUAGUCACUCAAGUCUGUGGACAACCCCCCACCCCCCGGUCACAAGACCAGCACAAGUGCAGAUGGCCGCCUGCUUCUCCCAGCCAAGGUUGAACAGAGGAAACCCGGUCACCUGACCGCAUGUUGCCUAAGGCCCAACAGGAUUUCAGCUGGAUCAGGAGGUCUCAGAACGUCUGGCACAACAGCAUAAACUUGCACAGGUGAGAAAAGCAGGGAAGCACGGCUGAAGCCACCAGAAGAGCAGAAAACGCUCGAUUGACCAAGAACGAGCCUCAAGCUAUUUACAAAGCAAACAAGCGUGGCUUCAUCGUGUACAGAAUACUGCGCGUGCAGGUUGAGACCAAAUUUCCAAAUCUCAAAACCAUAUACACCUGCGGGAUUAGAUUUCAAAAUUAAUUUUUUCAAGAAAAAUGUCCUUUAAAAACAAAAAUCUGCAUUAUGUUCUUAUUCUAAAGAUAUUUACACUAUAAUAUUGUCUGAAUGUUGUUAAAACUGUAAGGCCGCAAAUUAACAAAAAAACAUGAAUAUGGUUAGUUUUACAGGUCAUGCAAAGCGAUGGUAACAGAUAGGCAGAAUUAAUAUAGGAAGCUUUGAGAUGUGUACAGUGUCCAAAGUCAGUUACAUGGAACUGUCCAUUUAAAAUGUAGAAUCUAGACAUUUGUUCUCAGAGUGCAGUUUAAUUAAACAGUGUGUACAUUAAAGGUUUAA
Molecule: long non-coding RNA, 1805 nt
Organism: Anguilla rostrata (American eel)
Lineage: Eukaryota; Metazoa; Chordata; Actinopteri; Anguilliformes; Anguillidae
Exons: 2
Source: RefSeq, a predicted model, not a curated record